GUCCAGACUCCUACGGGAGGCAGCAGUGGGGAAUAUUGCACAAUGGGGGAAACCCUGAUGCAGCAACGCCGCGUGAGUGAAGAAGUAUUUCGGUAUGUAAAGCUCUAUCAGCAGGGAAGAAAAUGACGGUACCUGAGUAAGAAGCCCCGGCUAACUACGUGCCAGCAGCCGCGGUAAUACGUAGGGGGCAAGCGUUAUCCGGAUUUACUGGGUGUAAAGGGAGCGUAGACGGCGAUACAAGUCUGAAGUGAAAGCCCGGGGCGCAACCCCGGGACUGCUUUGUAAACUGUGUUGCUGGAGUGCUGGAGAGGCAAGCGGAAUUUCUAGUGUAGCGGUGAAAUGCGUAGAUAUUAGGAGGAACACCAGUGGCGAAGGCGGCCUGCCGGGCUUUAACUGACGCUGAGGCUCGAAAGCGUGGGGAGCAAACAGGAUUAGAUACCCUAGUAAU
This 448-nucleotide ribosomal RNA is filed under the name uncultured bacterium. Its description in RNAcentral is "bacterial SSU rRNA". It matches the Rfam family "Bacterial small subunit ribosomal RNA", at positions 329 to 794 of the family's 1533-position model. The record is from RNAcentral.